Molecule: ribosomal RNA, 426 nt
Filed under: Triticum aestivum (bread wheat)
Lineage: Eukaryota; Viridiplantae; Streptophyta; Magnoliopsida; Poales; Poaceae
Description: partial small subunit ribosomal RNA
Source: RNAcentral
AUGGACCAAUCCAUCCCUUUUUCCCGUGCAUAUGCAUCGGACUCGGAUGACGAUGGCCCCGAUGAAGAAGUUGAUGAGGAGGGGUUCACGCCGAAGGAGGCCCAAGCAUUCAAGAAGGUAUUCGGGCGGGAUCACAAGACACCAUUGUUCAAGGAUCUUAGUCUCGCGGAUGAAGCCGUUGUGGAUGAUGGCAAAUGCAUAUCUCUUGGAGCUAGGCCAAGUUCUCACCGUGAUUUGGAAGACGGCAAGAACGGGAUAUAUCCCGGUUGUGAGUUUGAAUCCUUCUUGGAAUUGAAGAUGUGGCUCGACAACUACUCGGUUACACAUUAUCGUCCACAUAAAGUGGCCAACUCGGACGUCAAUGUGCGUUACACGGUCAAAUGUGAAGUGCCAAGAUGUCCAUGGAUUGUGCGUGCGAGGCCAUGA